CCCUUAGAUGUUCUGGGCCGCACGCGCGCUACACUGUCGGAUUCAGCGAGUCUUAACCUUAACCGAAAGGUUUGGGUAAUCUUUUGAAAGUCCGACGUGAUGGGGAUUGAUCAUUGCAAUUAUUGAUCAUGAACGAGGAAUUCCUAGUAAGCGCGGGUCAUCAUCCCGCGCUGAAUACGUCCCUGCCCUUUGUACACACCGCCCGUCGCUCCUACCGAUUGAGUGGUCCGGUGAGGCUUUGGGAUCUGAGCGGAAAGAGCGUUUCGCUGUUUCUGCUCGGAAAACUCAGUCGAACCUUAUCAUUUAGAGGAAGGAGAAGUCGUAACA
RNAcentral lists this ribosomal RNA (327 nucleotides) under uncultured eukaryote. Its description in RNAcentral is "partial 18S ribosomal RNA". It matches the Rfam family "Eukaryotic small subunit ribosomal RNA", at positions 1470 to 1796 of the family's 1831-position model. The record is from RNAcentral.